Molecule: ribosomal RNA, 483 nt
Filed under: uncultured bacterium
Lineage: Bacteria
Description: bacterial SSU rRNA
Rfam family: Bacterial small subunit ribosomal RNA
Source: RNAcentral
GACGAACGCUGGCGGCGUGCCUAAUACAUGCAAGUAGAACGCUGAAGGAGGAGCUUGCUUCUCCGGAUGAGUUGCGAACGGGUGAGUAACGCGUAGGUAACCUGCCUGGUAGCGGGGGAUAACUAUUGGAAACGAUAGCUAAUACCGCAUAAGAGUAGAUGUUGCAUGACAUUUGCUUAAAAGGUGCAAUUGCAUCACUACCAGAUGGACCUGCGUUGUAUUAGCUAGUUGGUGGGGUAACGGCUCACCAAGGCGACGAUACAUAGCCGACCUGAGAGGGUGAUCGGCCACACUGGGACUGAGACACGGCCCAGACUCCUACGGGAGGCAGCAGUAGGGAAUCUUCGGCAAUGGACGGAAGUCUGACCGAGCAACGCCGCGUGAGUGAAGAAGGUUUUCGGAUCGUAAAGCUCUGUUGUAAGAGAAGAACGAGUGUGAGAGUGGAAAGUUCACACUGUGACGGUAUCUUACCAGAAAGGGACG